CCUACGGGACGCAGCAGUGAGGAAUAUUGGUCAAUGGGAGAGAUCCUGAACCAGCCAAGCCGCGUGAGGGAAGACGGCCCUAUGGGUUGUAAACCUCUUUUGUCGGAGAACAAAACCCGGGACGAGUUCCGGACUGCGUGUAUCCGAAGAAAAAGCAUCGGCUAACUCCGUGCCAGCAGCCGCGGUAAUACGGAGGAUGCGAGCGUCAUCCGGAUUUAUUGGGUUUAAAGGGUGCGUAGGCGGGACGGUAAGUCAGCGGUAAAAAUGCGGAGCUCAACUCCGUCGAGCCGUUGAAACUGUCGUUC
This 305-nucleotide ribosomal RNA is filed under the name uncultured bacterium. RNAcentral's name for it is "bacterial SSU rRNA". It matches the Rfam family "Bacterial small subunit ribosomal RNA", at positions 338 to 641 of the family's 1533-position model. The record is from RNAcentral.